Non-coding RNA from Nicotiana tabacum (common tobacco), 6594 nucleotides. The record is from RefSeq and is a predicted model, not a curated record. NCBI's taxonomy places the organism in Eukaryota, Viridiplantae, Streptophyta, Magnoliopsida, Solanales, Solanaceae.
UAAAUUAUUCUCUUUUAACACAAAGCUCAGAGACAAAGAAUGAGGGUUGCAGAGAGUAGAGGAAAGUUCAAGGGUAGCUGCUCCUCUCUGCUAAUUCCUGUGAUUUCAUUUUUGCCAAAGAUGCCCUUCUGCAGUAAACUAUGUCCAAACGACCCCUCUACUCUAUCUCCAAAUCCUCACUCCCAAAAAGAGAAUCAAUAGUAAUAGUAAUAAUAAUAAUUGUAGCAAAAAUCUGAGGCUGUGAUGAUAUUUUUUUCUUCUGUCUCUGAGCAAAUUGAUUAAGGCAGGAGAAUAAUCGGACCCGUAUCUUGGCGGGGCGACCCGGAUGGUGACGACUUGCAACCGGUGUUUACAGCCAUGGCGGUGUCUCCAAUCUCUUGCCUUGUCUUCAGUAUUACAGAUAUGAGCCUCAAUUGGAAGGUUAUUUUCUUAAGUGCAAACUUACAGGUUCUUUUCUGUUAAAUUUUGAAAUUCACAGGUGAAAAUCCACGAGAAUUUCCCCUAAAAAUGCAAAAAGGUUAGGCCAGAAAGAAAUGAGGCAAAACAGAGAGUAUUGGGAUUUUCAUUCGAAGGGUGGUUGCCCCUCUCUGUUCCGCCAUUGAUUUUCCUCCAUUUUCAAAAAAACCCAACAGCCCUUGUUUACGACAAAAGCAGAAGUAGAGAGCAUUUGGACAUAAGAAUUGUAAAAUUCCGGAAAAAAGUAAAAAACAAUUCCAGUGAAAUCUGUAUUCACUUUUUUCUUGUGUGUGUGUUUAUGUUGCUGAUGGAUGUUACAUAAAGAGGCAGUGAUGAUGAUGUUUCUUGUAUCUGGGCUAACCGAUUUGGGCAUAGAGAUGACCCAACCCGUAUCUUGGCGUGGUAACCCUGUAUGGCCUGUGAUUGAGAUUUCUGUCUCCCAAAGAGCUGUAGGGAGUUUCAUUGGGUGGUUUUGCUGCUCUCUGUCAAUUCUCUGCCGCCAAUGAUCAAUCAAAUGUACGAUUGCAAAACCACCCGUUUGGUGAAAAUAUGUAUUACUCCCCCGUUUCAAUUUAUGCGACGCGAUGAGGCUAUGAAGAUUUUAUUCUUCUGUGGAAGAUCAAUCAGACAUAUAAAUCUAUUGAGCUGGGAAAAAAAUUGUAAUCUUGGCGUGGCAGCUCAGAUGGGUCUUUGAGAUAUUGGAGAAUUAUCCAUUUUUAUGUGUGUUUCUCCUCUUUCAUAAAACUAACUGAUGCUUGCAGCCAUGACGGUCUUUUUCCAAAGCUUUUUGGGGUUUUGUCUGAGAAAAGGCAAAUCUGAGCCUACCCCAUUGUCUGGAUGAAACAUGCCUGGAUGAUAAAUACUACUUCUAAGGUGGCUUAAAGAAAUGGGGUAAAACAGAUGGGAUUGUCUUUAAAGGGUUGUAAAUAAGUGUAUAUCAGAGGGCAAAGUAAGAAAUAUCGAUCCUCUAAAUAGUUCUCUUUUGACACAAAGCAGAAAACUAAAAGCUCAUACAAAGAAUGAGGGUUGCAGAGAGUAGGGGGAAGCUUAAGGGCAGCUGCUCCUCUCUACAAUACCUGUGAUUUCAUUUUUGCCAAAAAUGCCCUUCUGCAGUAAACUGUAUCCAAACGACCUUUCUACUGUAUCUCCAAAUCAUCACUCCCAAAAAGAGAAUCAAUAGUAGUAAUAAUAAUAAUAAUUGUAGCAAAAAUCUGAGGCUAUGAUGAUGAUUUUUUCUUCUGUCUCUGAGCAAAUUGAUUAGGGCAAGAGAACAAUCGGACCUGUAACUUGGCCGGGCAACCCGGACGGUGACGACUUGCAACCGGUGUUUGCAGCCAUGGCGGUGUCUCCAGCCUCUUGCCUUGUCUUCAAUAUUACAGAUCUGAGCCUCAAUUGGAAGGUUAUUUUCUUAAGUGCAAACUUACAGGUUCUUUUCCGUUAAAUUUUGAAAUUCACAGGUGAAAAUCCACGAGAAUUUCCCCUAAAAAUGUAAAAAGGUUAGCUCAGAAAGAAAUGAGGCAAAACAGAGAGUAUUGGGAUUUUCAUUUGAAGGGUGGUUGCCCCUCUCUGUUCCGCCAUUGAUUUUCCUGCAUUUUCAGAAAAAAAACCAACAGCCCUUGUUUAUGACAGAAGCAGGCAGCGUUUGGACAUAAGAAUUGUAAAAUUCCGGAAAAAGUAAAAAAAUUUCCGAGUGAAAUCUGUAUUGACAUUUUGUGUGUGUGCGCGCGUGCGCUUAUGUUGCUGAUGGAAGUUACAUAAAGAGGCAGUAUGAUGAUGUUUCUUGUAUCUGGGCUAACCGAUUUGGGCGUAGAGAUGACCCAACCCGUAUCUUGGCGUGGCAACCCGGUAUGGUAUGUGAUUGAGAUAUCUGUCUCACUUGCAACUGGUGUUUUGCAGCCAUGGCGUAGCUGACUUCUCUUUGCCUUAAUCAUAACACAUUCAUGAUAAGCCUACUAUAGCAUGGACCAAGUUGUAAAUAAACACACACCAGAAAGGCAAAACAAGAUUAUCGAUGCUUUAAAUGGUUCGCUUUGACACAAAGCAGAAAACUAAAAGCUCAGAGACAAAGAGUGAGGGUUGCAGAGAGUAGAGGGAAGCUCAAGGGCAGCUGCUCCUAUCUGCUAAUUCCUUUGAUUUUUUUUGCCAAAAAGUGCCCUUCUGCAGUAAACUGUUUCCAAAUGACCCCUCUACUUUAUCUCCAAAUCCUCACUCCCAAAAAAGAAUCAGACUGUACUAAUAAUAAUAAUUGUAGCAAAAAUCUGAGGCUAUGAUAAUAAUUUUUUCUUCUGUCUCUGAGCAAAUUGAUUAGGGCAGGAGACCAAUUGGACCCGUAACUUGGUGGGGCAACCCGGACGGUGACGACUUGCAACCGGUGUUUGCAGCCAUGGCGGUGUCUCUAAUCUCUGCCCUCAUCUUCAAUAUUACAGAUCUGAGCCUCAAUUGGAAGGUUAUUUUCUUAAACGCAGAUUUAUGGGCUCUUUUCCGUUAGAUUUUGAAAUUCGCAGGUGAAAUAUCGGCGAGAAUUUUCCCUAAAAAUGCAAAAAGGUUAGCCCAGAAAGAAAUGAGGCAAGACAGAGAUUAUUGGUAUUUUCAUUAGGAGGGUGGUUGCCCCUCUCUGUUCCGCCAUUGAUUUUCCUCCAUUUUCAAAAAAUAAAAAAACCCAACAGCCCUUGUUUACGACAAAAUCAGAAGCAGACAGGAUUUAAGUGGACGUUUGUACAUAAGAAUUAUGAAAUCCCGGAAAAAAGUAAUUUUUUUCCAGUGAAAUCUGUUUACUUUUUUUGUGUGUGUGUGUGUGUGUGUGUUCAUGUUGCUGAUGGAAGUUACAUAAAGAGGCAGUGAUGAUGAUGUUUCUUGUAUCUGGGCUAACCGAUUUUGGCAUAGAGAUGACCCGAGCCGUAUCUUGGCGUGGCAACCCGAUGUGGCCUGUGAUUGAGAUUUCUGUCACACUUGCAACUGCUGUUUUGCAGCCAUGGCGUAGCUGGCUUCUCUUUGCCUUAUCACAACAUAUAUGAGCCCCAUUUGCAAGUAAAGAAAAAAUAGAUAAUCUUUUCUAUGAUUUGGAUUAACAGGUAAAUAGGAAGGGGAGUCUUGGAGUAACCGUAAUGUUUUCCUCGUGUGACCUGUCAGUCACGAGUUCGAGCUGGUCACAGCUACUGAUGCUUGCAUUAGGGUAUCUGUCUACAUCACACCCCUUGAGAGUGUGGCCCUUCACUGGACCUUGCGCGAACGCGGUUGUCUUGUGCACCGUGCUGCCCUUGGAUUAACAGGUAAGUAGCAUAAACCUCAUUAGUUAGUAUGAGGCUGCUUUCAAGGCAGAGAGCUGUAGGGAGUUUCAUUGGGUGGUUUUGCCCCUCUCUGUAAUUGUUCGCCGCCAAUGAUCACUCAAAUGUCCGUUUUUAAAACCACCCUUUUGUUGAAAAUACGUAUUACUCCCUCCCUUUCAAUUUAUGUGACGCAAUGAGGCUAUGAAGAUUUUAUUUUUCUGUGGAAGAUGAAUCAGACUUAUAAAUCUAUUGAGCUGGGAAAAAAUUGUAAUCUUGGCGUGGCAGCUCAGAUGGGUCUUUGAGACAUUGGAGAAUUAUCCAUUUUUUUUUGUGUGUUUUCCUGUUUCAUAAGACUAACUGAUACUUGCAGCCAUGGCGGUCUUUUUCCUCAGCUUUUUGGGGUUUUGUCUGAGAGAAGGCGAAUCUGAGCCUACCCCAUUGUCUGCAUGAAACAUGCUGGGAUGAUAAGUACUAGUUCUAGGGUGGCUUAAAGAAAUGAGGCAAAACAUAUGGGAUUAUCUUUAAAGGGUUGUAAAUAAGCGUAUGUCAGAGGGCAAAGUAAGAAAUAUCGAUCUUUUAAAUAAUUCUCUUUUGACACAAAGCAGAAAACUAAAACCUCAUAGACAAAGAAUGAGGGUUGCAGAGAGUAGAGGGAAGCUUAAGGGCAGCUGCUCCUCUCUACAAUUCCUGUGAUUUCAUUUUGUCCAAAAAAUGCCCUUCUGCAGUAAACUAUGUCCAAACGACCACUCUACUCUAUCUCCAAAUCCUCUCUCCCAUAAAGAGAAUCAAUAGUAGUAGUAAUAAUAAUAACAAUUUUAGUAAAAAUCUGAGGCUGUGAUUAUGUCUUUUCUUCUGUCUCUGAGCAAAUCAAUUAGGGAAGUGAACAAUUGGACCCGUAUCUUGGCGGGGUAACCUGGAUCGUAAAUGAUUUUCCAACCGGUAUUUGCAGCCAUGGCGGUGUUUCCAAUCUCUUGCCCUAGCUUCAAUUUAACAGAUCUGAGCCUCAUUUGGAAGGUUAUUUUCUUAAAUGCUGACUUAAGAAAAGGUUAGCCCAGAAAGAAAUGAGGCAAAACAGAGAGUUUUGAGAUUUUCAUUAAAAGGGUGGUUGCUCCUCUCUGUUCCGCCAUUGAUUUUCCUCCAUUAUCAAAAAAACCAACAGCCCUUUGUUUAUGUCAAAAGCAGAAGCAGACUAGUAAAGUUGCUGCCAUAUGACCAGGAGGCCAUGGGUUCGAGUGGUAGAAACAUUCUCUUGCAUAAAUGCAGGCCAUGGCGGUCUUUUUCCGAAGCUUUUUGGGUUUUUGUCUGAGCAAAGGCGAAUCUGAGCCUACCCCAUUAUCUGGAUUAAACGUGCUGGGAUGAUAAAUACUACUUCUAAGGUGGCUUAAAGAAAUGAGGCAAAACAGAUGGGAUUUUCUUUAAAGGGUGAUUGCCCCUCUCUGUUCUGCUGUUGAUUUUCCUCUAUUAAGAAAAUAACAACAGCUCUUGACAUGGAAAAAGAAGAAACAAGAACUGGAAGUGUAAUUAAACUAUACUGCUCUCCCCACACUACUACAUAUCUGUCUUUCCUCUGGUGUGAGUGUUUUUUUUUUUUUUUUUUUUUUUUUUUUUUUUUUUUUUUUUUUUGGGUGUUGAUGGAAGGUACAAAGAGAGGCUGUGAUGAUGAUGUUUCUAUAUCUGGGAUAACCAAUUUGGGCGUGGAGAUUAUCCAGCCCGUAUCUUGGCUUGGCAACCCAACAUGGCUUGUGACUGAGAUUUCUUUCUCUCACAUGCAAUUGGUGUUUGCAGCCAUGGCGUGGCUGGAUUCUCUUUAGCUUUAUCUUAACACGCAUCUGAGCCUUUUUCUUUAUUUGGUAUGAUAAUGACAUGGGUUGAGCUUAAAUGGAGGAACAUGGUUAGUGGCGAUUCAUAUAGCGGAUCCCAACUUCUGGGAAUCAAGCUCAGGUCUUUUGAGUGAGCCAAAUAUCCUAACUGACUAUACUACAACGGAAAUGUAACUACAAGAUAAUUACAGCAUUGAAGGAGGCUUAUAAUUCCUCUACACAUGGAAUUUUAAAGAGGCCCACCUCGUGGCAUGGCAACCCGAUUUCGUUGGUGCCUUAAAGUGUCAGAUGCAACUUGGGUUGCAGCCAUGGCUGUUCAGCUCAUUGGCUCUUGCCUGAAUAUUCUAAAGAGGUGUGGGGCUACAUAGAGAUGAGAAGUUCUAAGGGUGCAAAUGAUGGCUGUGAUGAUGAUAGUGUCUGUUAUGAACCCACAGGAGAUACUAGAGGGUACUAGACGCAGUGCACGUGCCAUACACCCUCCCAAAUAUUUGGAGAAUUUCGUGGUCCCCAAUCUAAAGAAAUGACAAGGUCUGUAAAAUCUGUUAGAGGUAGUGGAGGAUUCGCAAGUUACCAUCUGAUGCAACUUAUGCUUCUAUAAAUAUCCAGCAAGGCUAGAAUGAUAGGAUUAUGUAUGAAAUUGAGUAUUUUCUUUUUUGGCUAGUUUUGUCUGGAACCCUUCCCCAUUUCUUUACUGUUUCAUUGACAUUUUUCAGUGUAUUUUCCUAGUCCAGUUCUUAGAUCCUUCACGGUAAUUGUAUUUUGAGUUCAAUCAACACAAGUUCAUACCAAUUUGGUGCUCUCGUUGACCCUCUCCUUCCACUGACAAUGGGUGACGGACCUCCGACGACUCGCCUGAAAACUUUGGAUGACUCCAUGAAAUUGGUUCAUGACCAGCUUGCUACCCAUGCCCAAAAUUUUGAGAACAUUAAUGCUACCCUGCAGGUUCAACAGUCCCUGUUUCAAGAUAUCUCGACCCAACUUGCUCAGAUGCAAAACCAGCCUAAAAACCAAACCACCCCACAAAAUACCCUACAGUUAAACCAAAACCCGCU